GAGAAUGCAGGAAUGAGUAGCGAGAAGGCGGGCGAGAAUCCCGCCGGCCGGAAGUCCAAGGUUUCCAGGGGAAGGCUUGUCCGCCCUGGGGAAGUCGGGACCUAAGCAUAAGCAAAAUUGUGAUGGCGAAUGGAAAACAGGUUAAUAUUCCUGUACCGCUGUUAUCGCUUGAGAGACGGAGUGACGCAGGAAGGUAUGCGAGAAGGCUGACGGUUUAGCCUUUCUAAGGGCCCAGCGUGGGCGUGCAGGUAAAUCCGCACGCCUAAACGUGAGACCUGACGGGGAAGUGCAUUUGCAUAAGUCGCAGAUCCUACACUGCCAAGAAAAACUUCUAUCGAUGAGAAGCAGCGCCCGUACUGUAAACCGACACAGGUGGACAGAGUGAGAAACUUAAGGCCGACAGGAUAACUCUAGCUAAGGAACUCUGCAAAAUAGCCCCGUAACUUCGGGAGAAGGGGUGCCUGACAUACCUGAGAGGAGAAGCGCCUCAAGGGGAAACAGGCCGCAGUGAAGAGUCCCAAGCAACUGUUUACCAAAAACACAGGUCUAUGCUAAGCUGAAAGGCGACGUAUAUGGGCUGACACCUGCCCAGUGCCGGAAGGUUAAGAGGAGGAGUGAGAGCUCCGAUUUGAAGCCCCGGUGAACGGCGGCCGUAACUAUAACGGUCCUAAGGUAGCGAAAUUCCUUGUCGGGUAAGUUCCGACCUGCACGAAUGGUGAAAUGAUUUGGGAGCUGUCUUGGCUGGAGACCUGGUGAAGUUGUAAUGUCGGUGAAGAUACCGACUACCUGCAGUAGGACGGAAAGACCCCGUGGAGCUUUACUGUAGUUUGGCAUUGGGUUUUGGCUGUGUGUGUAUAGGAUAGUUGGGAGACUGUGAAGUUAAGGCGUCAGUUUUAACAGAGUCGUCGUUGGAAUACCAACCAUAUGCCGUUGAAAUUCUAAUCUGGUAACGGAGACAGUGCUAGAUGGGCAGUUUGACUGGGGCGGUCGCCUCCAAAAGAGUAACGGAGGCGUUCAAAGGUUCCCUCAGGCUGGAUGGAAAUCAGCCUAAGAGUGCAAACGCAUAAGGGAGCUUGACUGCAAGACUGACGGGUCGAGCAGGUACGAAAGUAGGAGUUAGUGAUCCGGCGGUUCCGCAUGGAAGGACCGUCGCUCAACGGAUAAAAGCUACCCCGGGGAUAACAGGCUGAUACUUCCCAAGAGUCCAUAUCGACGGAAGUGUUUGGCACCUCGAUGUCGGCUCGUCUCAUCCUGGGGCUGGAGAAGGUCCCAAGGGUUGGGCUGUUCGCCCAUUAAAGAGGCACGCGAGCUGGGUUCAGAACGUCGUGAGACAGUUCGGUCCCUAUCCACUGCAGGCGCUUGAAUACUGUAAAGAUCUGACCUUAGUACGAGAGGACCGGGUUGGACAGACCUCUGAUGUAUCAGUUGUCACGCCAGUGGCAUGGCUGAGUAGUCACGUCUGGUACGGAUAACCGCUGAAAGCAUCUAAGCGGGAAGCC
This 1499-nucleotide ribosomal RNA is filed under the name metagenome. Its description in RNAcentral is "bacterial LSU rRNA". It matches the Rfam family "Bacterial large subunit ribosomal RNA", at positions 1290 to 2794 of the family's 2925-position model. The record is from RNAcentral.